AUUGAACGCUGGCGGAAUGCUUUACACAUGCAAGUCGAGCGGCAGCGCGGGGCAACCUGGCGGCGAGCGGCGAACGGGUGAGUAAUGCAUCGGAACGUACCCAGUCGUGGGGGAUAACUGUCCGGAAGGACAGCUAAUACCGCAUACGUCCUGAGGGAGAAAGCGGGGGAUCGCAAGACCUCGCGCGAUUGGAGCGGCCGAUGCCGGAUUAGCUAGUUGGUAGGGUAAAGGCCUACCAAGGCGACGAUCCGUAGCUGGUCUGAGAGGACGACCAGCCACACUGGAACUGAGACACGGUCCAGACUCCUACGGGAGGCAGCAGUGGGGAAUUUUGGACAAUGGGGGCAACCCUGAUCCAGCCAUUCCGCGUGAGUGAAGAAGGCCU
RNAcentral lists this ribosomal RNA (385 nucleotides) under uncultured bacterium. Its description in RNAcentral is "bacterial SSU rRNA". It matches the Rfam family "Bacterial small subunit ribosomal RNA", at positions 29 to 417 of the family's 1533-position model. The record is from RNAcentral.